This 299-nucleotide unclassified non-coding RNA is filed under the name uncultured fungus. RNAcentral describes it as "partial contains small subunit ribosomal RNA, internal transcribed spacer 1, and 5.8S ribosomal RNA". The stretch from base 1 to 73 matches the Rfam family "Eukaryotic small subunit ribosomal RNA", at positions 1759 to 1831 of the family's 1831-position model. The record is from RNAcentral. Lineage: Eukaryota; Fungi.
GCAAACUUGGUCAUUUAGAGGAAGUAAAAGUCGUAACAAGGUUUCCGUAGGUGAACCUGCGGAAGGAUCAUUAAAGUAAUUUUGUCACUUUAUGUUGACUCUAUUCUUUUGUGAAACUAUUGAAUCAGUGAUAUUAUUUGGGGUUUAAAAAUGUGUGGGUAGUGAUACUGCCUGUACGACCCCAAACAUCAUUAACAAACUACUUUUUUAUGUGUAACUGAUAAUACCAAUUUAUUCUAAUUGAAAAAAUAACUUUCAACAACGGAUCUCUUGGUUCUCGCAUCGAUGAAGAACGCAGC